CCACAAAAGUGCCAGCAGUCACAAGGCUCGCACCACCUGAUAGAUAAGGCACUGGAGCUAGCAUGAACCCACUCCUGCCCCUGCUCACUUCCUCCCCUGUCUUUUAGAAGUGCCCACUUUCUGUUCCAAAAGCAAAGUGGGACAGCUAAAUGCAAGACAGAUGCCUGUGCCACUUCCCCAAGCUAGCUUUGGAAUAAAUAACCUUAUUUGUGCCAGACCUCAUUCUAAAUAAUUGGACUCUGCAAGUGGCCAGCAACUAACCUACUCUACUGUUGAGUUAGAGCUCUGGGUUGCCCACCAGCCUCCAGGGAAUGUCCUUACAAUGAAAUGCACUGUGGGGAGCAUCACACCAUCCCGUCCCAUGACAAAAUGAAAUGCACUGUGGGGGUAUUGCCCGGUCCAGUCCUGUGCUGAAAUCAAAUGCACUGUGGAGGCACUGCACUGUCCAGUCCCAUGACAAAAUGAAAUGCACUGUAGGAGCAUCACGCCGUCCAGUCCCGUGCCGAGAUGAAAUGCACCGUGGGAGGAUCACACCGUUCAGUCCUUCUCCCUCUGAUGCCAAGCCGAAGCUGGACUGUACUGCCGCCAUCUCUGCUCACUGCAACCUCCCUGCCUGAUUCUCCUGCCUCAACCUGCCGAGUCAUGUUUUUGGAGAUGAAAAUUUACAGUUCCCUCACAAUUGUUUAGGGCAUGAAACAGUUAAGAGAUUAAUAGUCUGAAGUGAGGGAGAGAAACUAUUUGAAAAAUGGCAAAUGAAGAAUCUUACGAGUCGAUAAGAUCUGCUUCUGUUUGUGUGUUUGUGUGUCUAUGUGUUUACGUAUGUCAUGUGUAUGUCAUGUUUCACUACCAAAAUACAUGAAAGAGCUCUAAUUAAUUGGCUUAAGGAAAAGGUAAGCACUUAAAUCAAAUAUUUUAUCAGAAAAACAGAAACGUUAACUCAAAUGAGUUCUAGUUCAGGUGACUCUAGCAAUCUUUGGUAAA
This 981-nucleotide long non-coding RNA is filed under the name Pan troglodytes (chimpanzee). RNAcentral's name for it is "lncRNA (ENSPTRG00000054030.1)". The record is from RNAcentral. Lineage: Eukaryota; Metazoa; Chordata; Mammalia; Primates; Hominidae.